Molecule: long non-coding RNA, 309 nt
Organism: Epinephelus fuscoguttatus (brown-marbled grouper)
Lineage: Eukaryota; Metazoa; Chordata; Actinopteri; Perciformes; Serranidae
Exons: 3
Source: RefSeq, a predicted model, not a curated record
GGUUUGGAACAUCACAGACGUGAACAGGACUGAAUUAAGACACUGGAAUAGUGUUUAACAUUGAAAGCAGAUAGAAGAGGGGGAUUUAUACCUUCAUCUCAUAUCUUUACAUUUGGAGAAAAAGAAAACCAGGAUGGGUGUCACACACAUCGUAUCAGUGUUGCUGAUUCUAACAGCUACAAUGACACCAGCCGCAUCUACGACUACUGCUGCAACAACUUCUGCAACUACAACUGCAGGACCUACCACUGGUGCACCUGCCACUACUGCAGCAACAACCGCAGCAACAACUGCUGCACCUACAACUGC